AUCUUUGCGCUUAGUGUAAUGACGCAGCUAGUGAGGUUCUAACCGCGGCGCGUCUAUUGCUGGUUGAAAACUAUUUCCAAACCCCCUCUUUGGCCUAAGUUUAUCUUAGACUGUUGAGAAUUUCUGAAAAGGCUCGCUUUGGAUAAAGCC
This 150-nucleotide small nuclear RNA is filed under the name Cephalotus follicularis. RNAcentral's name for it is "U4 spliceosomal RNA". It matches the Rfam family "U4 spliceosomal RNA". Rfam says of the family: U4 small nuclear RNA (U4 snRNA) is a component of the major U2-dependent spliceosome. The structure of U4 snRNA from yeast and human has been reported. The record is from Rfam by way of RNAcentral. Lineage: Eukaryota; Viridiplantae; Streptophyta; Magnoliopsida; Oxalidales; Cephalotaceae.